CCCCGGUAAACGGCGGCCGUAACUAUAACGGUCCUAAGGUAGCGAAAUUCCUUGUCGGGUAAGUUCCGACCUGCACGAAUGGCGUAAUGAUGGCCAGGCUGUCUCCACCCGAGACUCAGUGAAAUUGAACUCGCUGUGAAGAUGCAGUGUACCCGCGGCAAGACGGAAAGACCCCGUGAACCUUUACUAUAGCUUGACACUGAACAUUGAGCCUUGAUGUGUAGGAUAGGUGGGAGGCUUUGAAGUGUGGACGCCAGUCUGCAUGGAGCCGACCUUGAAAUACCACCCUUUAAUGUUUGAUGUUCUAACGUGGACCCGUAAUCCGGGUUGCGGACAGUGUCUGGUGGGUAGUUUGACUGGGGCGGUCUCCUCCUAAAGAGUAACGGAGGAGCACGAAGGUUGGCUAAUCCUGGUCGGACAUCAGGAGGUUAGUGCAAUGGCAUAAGCCAGCUUGACUGCGAGCGUGACGGCGCGAGCAGGUGCGAAAGCAGGUCAUAGUGAUCCGGUGGUUCUGAAUGGAAGGGCCAUCGCUCAACGGAUAAAAGGUACUCCGGGGAUAACAGGCUGAUACCGCCCAAGAGUUCAUAUCGACGGCGGUGUUUGGCACCUCGAUGUCGGCUCAUCACAUCCUGGGGCUGAAGUAGGUCCCAAGGGUAUGGCUGUUCGCCAUUUAAAGUGGUACGCGAGCUGGGUUUAGAACGUCGUGAGACAGUUCGGUCCCUAUCUGCCGUGGGCGCUGGAGAACUGAGGGGGGCUGCUCCUAGUACGAGAGGACCGGAGUGGACGCAUCACUGGUGUUCGGGUUGUCAUGCCAAUGGCACUGCCCGGUAGCUAAAUGCGGAAGAGAUAAGUGCUGAAAGCAUCUAAGCACGAAACUUGCCCCGAGAUGAGUUCUCCCUGAGACUUAGAGUCUCCUGAAGGAACGUUGAAGACGACGACGUUGAU
This 945-nucleotide ribosomal RNA is filed under the name Salmonella enterica subsp. enterica. RNAcentral's name for it is "partial 23S ribosomal RNA". It matches the Rfam family "Bacterial large subunit ribosomal RNA", at positions 1918 to 2857 of the family's 2925-position model. The record is from RNAcentral. Lineage: Bacteria; Pseudomonadati; Pseudomonadota; Gammaproteobacteria; Enterobacterales; Enterobacteriaceae.